GACGAACGCUGGCGGCGUGCUUAACACAUGCGAGUCGAACGGAAAGGCCCUGCUUUUGUGGGGUGCUCGAGUGGCGAACGGGUGAGUAACACGUGAGUAACCUGCCCUUGACUUUGGGAUAACUUCAGGAAACUGGGGCUAAUACCGGAUAGGAGCUCCUGCUGCAUGGUGGGGGUUGGAAAGUUUCGGCGGUUGGGGAUGGACUCGCGGCUUAUCAGCUUGUUGGUGGGGUAGUGGCUUACCAAGGCUUUGACGGGUAGCCGGCCUGAGAGGGUGACCGGACGACGGGGUACGGCGAGACGGCGCCGGCGCGGGAGGGAGGCGGGGGAGGGGAAGAGGGGAGACGGGGGGGAGGCCCGCAGGAGACAGGGCGGGGGCGGGAGGGGGGACGGUGGUUGGGAGUCCGCUGGCGCAGGGGAGGGGGGGUGAGGGACUGGUGUGAGAAGAGAAGCAAGGGCUAAAGGCGCGCCAGGAGCCGGGGCAAUAGGCGGAAGAACACACGCCUGAAC
Molecule: ribosomal RNA, 509 nt
Filed under: uncultured bacterium
Lineage: Bacteria
Description: partial 16S ribosomal RNA
Rfam family: Bacterial small subunit ribosomal RNA (bases 21-328)
Source: RNAcentral